RNAcentral lists this ribosomal RNA (3678 nucleotides) under Candidatus Nitrosotalea okcheonensis. RNAcentral describes it as "bacterial LSU rRNA". It matches the Rfam family "Archaeal large subunit ribosomal RNA". Lineage: Archaea; Thermoproteati; Nitrososphaerota; Nitrososphaeria; Nitrosotaleales; Nitrosotaleaceae. The record is from RNAcentral.
CCGACGCCAAUAGAGGGAUGGCUUGGCUUGAGAAGAGAUGAAGGACGUGGCAAGCUGCGAUAAGCUUAGGGUAGGUGCAGGCGACCUAUGAUCCUGAGAUGUCCGAAUAGGAAUCCGAUGCGUUAAGCAUACUCAAUUACAAUGGUAGUUGAGAUCGAACCGUGGGAAGUGAAGCAUCUGAGUACCACGUGGAAAAGAAAUCAACAGAGAUUUCCCAAGUAGCGGCGAGCGAAAAGGAAAUAGCCCAAACUGAAUCUGCCAUGGUAACAUGGUAGAGAUGUGGUGUUGUUAUGGUAUUACGAUCCUCAAAUCGGAGCUUAAGUGGCCUGGAAAGGCCUGGCAAAGAAGGUGAUACCCCCGUGAGCGAUGGAAGAGAGGAUCUUACUAUGACUCGAGUAGUUGUCCUUGGUAGUGGGCAAUGAAUAUAGGUGAAAGUAGCAUCUAAGGCUAAAUAUUUCUCAAGACCGAUAGCGGAGUAGUACCGCGAGGGAAAGCUGAAAAGUACCCCGGAAGGGGGGUGAAAAGUGCCUGAAAUCUAUUGGUUACAGACGUGCAUGGCAUGAAAGGAGUUUUUGUCAGAUUGGAGGUUCUAGCAAUAGAGCUGAAGGUCUGGCGUUCAUAGCUCCAGUGUCAUGCGUUCCGUCUAGAAACACGGGCCAGGGAGCUUACUGUUAUGGCGAGCCUAAAUCUUUAAAGAUGGAGGCGAAGGGAAACCAAGUUCCCGCAGUGAAUAACGAGGGGAAGCGUGUGAAAGUGCGUAGAGUCAUAGCGGCAAGGCUAGAAACCAGACGAUCUAUCCCUGAACAAGACGAAGUUGGGCGAAAGCCUGAUGGAGGUCUGAAGCAGUUCUAACGUGCAAUUUGUUUGUCUGAUUUGGGGAUAGGGGUCAAAAACCAAUCUAGUCUGGUGAUCGCUAGUUCCUAACGAAGUGUAUCGCAGUACAGCCUUUGUGGAGACAGCGUGUCUUGUAGAGCACCGAUAGGGCAUGUCGGGAGAGAAAUCUUUCGCUGCCCAUUCAAACUCCGAAGAGAUGUGCGUCGUAGAAGCAAAGAGACGGAUUUACGUGGCGUAAGGCUCGUAAUCAAGAGGGGGACAACCCAGACUGAAGUUAAGGUCCCCAAGUUUUUGCUAAGUGUCAAACUGAAGGGCGUAUUUAAGCCAAGACAGCAGGGAGGUAAGCUCAGAAGCAGCUAUCCUUUAAAAAGUGCGUAACAGCUUACCUGCCGAGCUUGGAUGCCCCAAAAAUGGACGGGGCUAAAGCAAAGCACCGAUACUUCAGAUUGUUAUCAUAUGGUAACACAUGGUAGUUAGGCGUAGGGAUUGGGUAGAAGCAGGGUCGUGAGAUCCUGUGGACCGAUUCCUAUUGCAGAUCCUGGCGGCAGUAACAGCAUAGUGGAGUGAGAAUCUCCACCAUCGUAAGCGUAAGGGUUUCCCGGCAAUGCGUCGUCAGCCGGGAGUUAGUCGAUCCUAAGAUCAACCUCAACAGAGUUGAUCGAACGGGAAACUUGUUAAUAUUCAAGUACCUUAUAGGUGCGUUAUAAUCUAGCAUACGCUUUCGGAUAGGGCUUGCAGAACCAUCGUUCUGUCUAAGUAUUCAAGAGUUGGGGAGUGUCGCAAUGACGAGAACCAAUUCGAGAUGCAAAUGGCUUGGCGUUAGCUGAGUUUGCUCGAGUCCAAGAGACCAUGAAAAAUUGCGUAGUGAGCGUCUUAUAAUGAUCGUACCGAGAUCCGACACAGGUGCGCUGGAUGAGAAGUCUAAGAUGUAUCGGGUAUACCGUAGGCGAGGGAACUCGGCAAAAUAGUCCUGUACCUUUGGUAUAAGGGAUGCCUGCAGCGGUAAUGUAGAAUUGCCGUCGCAGGUCGCAGUGACAAGGGGGUCCCGACUGUUUAAUAAAAACACAGGUGACUGCUAGUCCGAAAGGAUGCGUAUAGUCACUGAAUCCUGGCCAGUGCAGGUACCUAAAACUUGGGUUCAACUGAGCUAAGGGCCUGUAAACGCCGGGAGUAACUCUGACUCUCUUAAGGUAAAACAAAUUUGGAUUGCCUUAGUAAAAUCUGGCUAUUUGCUGGAAGGUCUGAGAAUGUCAGGCUAGGUUAUUCAAAGCUUAAAAUCUUUGAAUAAUCUGAUAAUGCCAUGACUGCAGAUAAUCAGCAGGAAAGACUAGAUGCGCGCUGGGUUAGUGGAUUCGUAGAUGGCGAAGGAUGCUUUCACGUUUCCAUAAAUAAAUCACCAGAGAUGUCUAUUGGUUGGCAAGUACUCCCCGAAUUUCGCGUUGUUCAACAUGAGCGUGACGAGUCUGUAUUAAAAGAAUUACAACAAUUCUUCCAAGCAGGAAAAGUCGUUACGAAUCAUGGUGCAAGAAAAGAACUACGAAUACGAAAACUAGAAGAUCUAAGAAAGAUAGUUUUGUUCUUCAAACAAUAUCAAUUGCAAACAAAGAAGAAAAAAGAUCUUGAAAUUUUCGGGGAAAUACUAGAACUGAUGGAAAACAAAAAACAUCUGACCAUUGAAGGCUUGACCGACAUUGCAAAUCUUUGUUGGUCAAUGAAUAGAAAGGUCAAACCGCGCUUUUUAGAAUCCUCAGAGACUACAUGCCAGAAAUCAUUGAAAAUGAUUAAGAUAUAGUCCGACCCCUGCAGCGAUGUAGGGAGGUUUGCAAAUGCAAACUCGCCUCGAUUUGUUUCCAAACAAUCAAGGUCACUAAGUAACAGAAGUGAGCCAAAUGCCUUGUCGGGUAAGUUCCGACGUGCAUGAAUGGAACAACGAGGGCCCCGCUGUCCCCGCCUACAACCCGGUGAAGCCACAUAAGCUGGACGAACAGUCCAGCAUCUUCCAUCGGGGAGAGAAGACCCCGUGGAGUUUUACUGCAGCUUGUGCUUGCGGUAUGGUGGAAAUUGCAUAGAGUAACUGGUAGCCAUGCUAAUGCCUUUUCGGGGGCAUUGGAAGCAAAAGUGUAACACCAGUCAUUUUCCUUCGUACUGCUUACCCCAUUAAUUUGGGGGACAGGUGCAGGUGGGCAGUUCGGCUGGGGCGGCACCCCUUUGAAAAGAUAUCAAAGGGGCCCAAAGUUCAGUUCAAACGGGUCAGAAAUCCGUUGAAGAGGGCAAGGCCACAAACUGGACUGACUGGAUCUCCAAACGCACGGGAUUCAGAGAAGAAAUUCGGGCCUAGCGAUCCAUGACGUCCCCACUAUUGGGGGCUCGUGGUGACAGAAAAAUUACCCCAGGGAUAACAGGCUCGUCGCGGGCGAGAGCUCCUAUCGACCCCGCGGUUUGGUACCUCGAUGUCGGCUUUUCCCAUCCUGGCCCUGCAGCAGGGGCCAAGGGUGAGGCUGCUCGCCUAUUAAAGGGGAACAUGAGCUGGGUUUAGACCGUCGUGAGACAGGUCGGACUCUGCCUGAUGGAAGCGUGGAUACUUGAGGGGAAGUUGCUCCGAGUACGAGAGGAACAGAGCAGCGUGGCCUCUGGUUUAACGGUUGUCUGAUAAGGCAGGCCGUGCAGCUAAGCCAUUUAGGCUAACUCCUGAAAGCAUCUAAGGAGGAAACCUAUCCUGAGAAAAGGUAUCCGGUCGUAAGACAAAGGGUGGCAGCAGAAGACUGCUUUGAUAGAACAGCAGUGUAUGCCCCAAGGUUCGCCGAGGGGCGAGCUGGCUGUUACUAACAACCCAAUACAUCAGUC